CCUACGGGCGGCAGCAGUGGGGAAUAUUGCACAAUGGGCGCAAGCCUGAUGCAGCCAUGCCGCGUGUGUGAAGAAGGCCUUCGGGUUGUAAAGCACUUUCAGCGGGGAGGAAGGCGUUAAGGUUAAUAACCUUGUCGAUUGACGUUACCCGCAGAAGAAGCACCGGCUAACUCCGUGCCAGCAGCCGCGGUAAUACGGAGGGUGCAAGCGUUAAUCGGAAUUACUGGGCGUAAAGCGCACGCAGGCGGUCUGUCAAGUCGGAUGUGAAAUCCCCGGGCUCAACCUGGGAACUGCAUUCGAAACUGGCAGGCUAGAGUCCUGUAGAGGGGGGUAGAAUUCCAGGUGUAGCGGUGAAAUGCGUAGAGAUCUGGAGGAAUACCGGUGGCGAAGGCGGCCCCCUGGACAAAGACUGACGCUCAGGUGCGAAAGCGUGGGGAGCAAACAGGAUUAGAUACCCCUGUAGUC
RNAcentral lists this ribosomal RNA (465 nucleotides) under uncultured Klebsiella sp. Its description in RNAcentral is "bacterial SSU rRNA". It matches the Rfam family "Bacterial small subunit ribosomal RNA", at positions 338 to 795 of the family's 1533-position model. Lineage: Bacteria; Pseudomonadati; Pseudomonadota; Gammaproteobacteria; Enterobacterales; Enterobacteriaceae. The record is from RNAcentral.